RNAcentral lists this ribosomal RNA (701 nucleotides) under Bacillus sp. LMAG_17. RNAcentral's name for it is "bacterial SSU rRNA". It matches the Rfam family "Bacterial small subunit ribosomal RNA", at positions 812 to 1509 of the family's 1533-position model. Lineage: Bacteria; Bacillati; Bacillota; Bacilli; Caryophanales; Bacillaceae. The record is from RNAcentral.
CACGGUAAUCUAGGGGGUUUCGCCCCUUAGUCCGGAAACAGAGCAAUUAACCAUUCCCCCUGGGGAUACAGGUUGCCCGGUUGAAAAUGAACAUAAUCGAGGGGACCCGGGGCAUUCGAUGCGGCAUUGAAGAAAUUCGAGGGAACCCGUUUAGCCCAACAAAUCCGGUCAAGCCUUUGUCACACACAUAUACAGAUAUUUCCUUCCCUUCAGGGACCGAGUGGCAUGACGUUCUAUUUUUGUAGAGUUUGCUCCUGGCUCAGGUGGUGUUUUUUGUCGCAAAAGACGAGACACCUCACUCCUAUAUCCCUCAUAUUCAGUGAGCUUUUACAUGCGUCAUAGGGUAAUUAAUCCGGAGGAGAGUGGGGAGAGAGUCAAAUCAUCAUGAAUGAACAUGCAUCUGGUAUACACACGUGUUACAUCAGACAGAACAAAGGGAUGCGUGACCGCAAGGUUUAGCCAAUCCCAUAAAUCUGUUCUCAGUUCGGAUCGCAGUCUGCAACUCGAUUGUGUGAAGCUGGAAUCGAUAGUAAUCGCGGAUCAGCAUAGCGAGGUGAAGACGUUCCCGGGCGUUGGACACACCGCCCGUCACACCACGAGAGUUUGCAACACCCGAAGUCGGUGAGGUAACCUUGAGGGAGCCACACCCCGAUAGCGUGGCAGAUGGCUCAGGCAGGACCGGGGCCGGUCCCGCUGGACGA